GCCGAAAAUAUAACGGGGCUCAAGUCUGGUGCCGAAGCUUCGGGUUCUCGUAAGAGAGCGGUAGCGGAGUAUUCUCAGACAGAUACAAGGUCUAUCGUAAGAAGGGCUGAUGGGUCUGAGAAGAGCUUAUGCAGGCAUGAGUAGCGAUAAACCGGGUGAGAAGCCCGGUCGCCGUAAGCCCAAGGUUUCCUCGGGAAGGAUCAUCCUCCGAUGGGUUAGUCGGACCCUAAGCCGAGGCCGAAAGGCGUAGGUGAUGGAAAGCAGGUUAAUAUUCCUGCACCACUCGGGAUGGCGUUGAACUGAGCGGGGACGGAGAAGGAUAGGCCGAUCCAGGCGUUUGGUUUGCCUGGUUCAAGCCCGUAGGCGGAUUCCGUAGGACCCAAUAGGGACAAACGCGGAGUCAACGCCGAGAGGUGAUGAGGAGAGGCUUCGGCCUCGAAACUCGGUGAUUCCAAGCUCCCAAGAAAAGCCGCGCAGUGAGCCCCUCGAGUGACCGUACCGCAAACCGACUCAGGUGGGCGGGAAGAAUAUUCCAAGGCGCGUGGGAGAACGCUGGUUAAGGAACUCGGCAAAUUGGCACCGUAACUUCGGGAGAAGGUGUGCCCCCUGUACGUGAAGACCCUUGCGGUCGUAGCGGAAGGGGGUUGCAGAGAAAUGAGGGUUGCGACUGUUUACUAAAAACACAGGACUCUGCGAACUCGUAAGAGGACGUAUAGGGUCUGACGCCUGCCCGGUGCUGGAAGGUUAAGGGGAGGUGUUAGCCGCAAGGCGAAGCUCCGAACCGAAGCCCCAGUAAACGGCGGCCGUAACUAUAACGGUCCUAAGGUAGCGAAAUUCCUUGUCGGGUAAGUUCCGACCUGCACGAAUGGCGUAACGACAUCCCUACUGUCUCAACCAGCGACCCAGCGAAAUUGUAUUGGGGGUGAAGAUACCCUCUACCCGCGGCAAGACGGAAAGACCCCGUGAACCUUUACUGCAACUUGGCAGUGAAGCUCGGAACAAUCUGCGUAGGAUAGGUGGGAGGCUAUGAAGUCGGGAUUCCGGUCUCGAUGGAGCCAACGUUGAAAUACCACCCUGAUUGUUCUGGUCUUCUAACCCAGGCCCGUUAUCCGGGUCGGGGACACUGUCUGGUGGGCAGUUUGACUGGGGCGGUCGCCUCCCAAAAAGUAACGGAGGCGCG
This 1180-nucleotide unclassified non-coding RNA is filed under the name uncultured fungus. RNAcentral's name for it is "sequence contains 18S rRNA gene, ITS1, 5.8S rRNA gene, ITS2, 28S rRNA gene". It matches the Rfam family "Bacterial large subunit ribosomal RNA", at positions 1163 to 2310 of the family's 2925-position model. Lineage: Eukaryota; Fungi. The record is from RNAcentral.